UAGGGAAUCUUCGGCAAUGGACGAAAGUCUGACCGAGCAACGCCGCGUGAGUGAAGAAGGUUUUCGGAUCGUAAAACUCUGUUGUUAGAGAAGAACAAGGACGUUAGUAACUGAACGUCCCCUGACGGUAUCUAACCAGAAAGCCACGGCUAACUACGUGCCAGCAGCCGCGGUAAUACGUAGGUGGCAAGCGUUGUCCGGAUUUAUUGGGCGUAAAGCGAGCGCAGGCGGUUUCUUAAGUCUGAUGUGAAAGCCCCCGGCUCAACCGGGGAGGGUCAUUGGAAACUGGGAGACUUGAGUGCAGAGGAGGAGAGUGGAAUUCCAGGUGUAGCGGUGAAAGGCGUAGAUAUAUGGAGGAACACCAGUGGCGAAGGCGGCUCGCUGGUCUGUAACUGACGCUGAGGCUCGAAAGCGUGGGGAGCAAACAGG
RNAcentral lists this ribosomal RNA (429 nucleotides) under Gemmatimonadota bacterium. RNAcentral's name for it is "Gemmatimonadetes bacterium partial 16S ribosomal RNA". It matches the Rfam family "Bacterial small subunit ribosomal RNA", at positions 355 to 776 of the family's 1533-position model. Lineage: Bacteria; Pseudomonadati; Gemmatimonadota. The record is from RNAcentral.